AGUGAACGCUGGCGGUAGGCCUAACACAUGCAAGUCGAACGGCAGCACAGUAAGAGCUUGCUCUUACGGGUGGCGAGUGGCGGACGGGUGAGGAAUACAUCGGAAUCUACUUUUUCGUGGGGGAUAACGUAGGGAAACUUACGCUAAUACCGCAUACGACCUACGGGUGAAAGCAGGGGAUCUUCUGACCUUGCGCGAUUGAAUGAGCCGAUGUCGGAUUAGCUAGUUGGCGGGGUAAAGGCCCACCAAGGCGACGAUCCGUAGCUGGUCUGAGAGGAUGAUCAGCCACACUGGAACUGAAACACGGUCCAGACUCCUACGGGAGGCAGCAGUGGGGAAUAUUGGACAAAGGGCGCAAGCCUGAUCCAGCCAUACCGCGUGGGUGAAGAAGGCCUUCGGGUUGUAAAGCCCUUUUGUUGGGAAAGAAAAGCAGCAGGUUAAUACCCCGCUGUUCUGACGGUACCCAAAGAAUAAGCACCGGCUAACUUCGUG
This 492-nucleotide ribosomal RNA is filed under the name uncultured bacterium. RNAcentral describes it as "partial 16S ribosomal RNA". It matches the Rfam family "Bacterial small subunit ribosomal RNA", at positions 29 to 507 of the family's 1533-position model. The record is from RNAcentral.